GGCAGAUGGAGACACUUUCAAAUGUACUUAAGGGGACAGGGUGCCCUGAGUGAGCCGUUGCUUCUGCCUCAUGGGAGAAGAGAGAAGAACUGCUGCUGGCUUCUGCUUUUGAUUCUUUGGAGAACUGCUGAGCUGACUGCUGCUGCUGAAGCUUGGAGAUUCCUUCUGGGAGAAGAUUCUUCAUCUUCUUCUCCCAGGGCCCCCCACCCCAGCUCAAAUCACUAAGCCCCCAUCACCUGCCUGCCUGGUCUGUGCUGGAGAGAGGUAUCCUGUGGCUAGCCCAGGCCGUCUCUCCCCAUCCCAUCCCCCCCCUUUUGGUUGACUUUUAUUGGGGGGGGGUUGGGUGCUCACCCCAUGGUGCCCAGUGGCCCUCUCCCUGGCUGUUGAGUGGUGCCCACCCAGGGGCUUCUGGCAGGCAGCAGUAGCUCCCUGGAGUCUGCCCCAGCUGAAGAGAGAAGAAGACGAGGAGAACUGAGACGCAAUCCGGGAGAAGACUUCUGAGAGGCCUGAUUGUCCUCGGCCACUUGCAGAAUCUGACUAAGAAUGAAGCUUCUUCUCGGCUUCUUGGCCCUGCUCUUCUUCACUAUCACCCAGGCACUCCGGUGCAAGAAAUGCGAAUAUGAAAAUGCUGAAUACUGUCAACGUUAUGGAACAGAAUGUGAAGUUCAUGGUAGAUAUUCGACAUGUUACACAGCAUCAGCCUAUGAAGCAGAUGGAACAUUUACUGGAGUGAAGUAUGGAUGCGAUGAACGUGGAAAUGAAAUCAUAUGUCAAUCCGUUCAAAGGUUCAGUGGGCCUGCGGGCCGUAUAUAUGUCUACACUUGUUGCAAAACUGACAAAUGUAAUGGACAUCGUACACCUUUGCCUCCUCCUUGGUGUACCCAGCCUUCCUUGGGGAUGUGAGUUAACGGAGGAUCGGGAUGUGGCUCUCUCCACUCAAAGCUCCUCUGUCCUAGUCCCCUUGAAGGGAAAUCCAGAUAAUCUAUGGCUAUCCAUCACUUAUUUCACCCUCUUUGAGCCAAGAUGUGAUUUAAGGGUUUGAAUGUGGCUCCUUCAUCUGUGGAAAAUGUACAAGGAGAACCAAAAAUAAACCUACAUGCU
Molecule: long non-coding RNA, 1101 nt
Organism: Hemicordylus capensis (graceful crag lizard)
Lineage: Eukaryota; Metazoa; Chordata; Lepidosauria; Squamata; Cordylidae
Exons: 4
Source: RefSeq, a predicted model, not a curated record